Molecule: long non-coding RNA, 553 nt
Organism: Macadamia integrifolia
Lineage: Eukaryota; Viridiplantae; Streptophyta; Magnoliopsida; Proteales; Proteaceae
Exons: 2
Source: RefSeq, a predicted model, not a curated record
UCCACGGCUAAGCGAAACGCGCCCUGAAUUUUGUAAUCCCGGGCUUUUUUGAUUGACCAUUAUGCCUCCAAUGGUGGCUGCAAUGGGGAAAGGGUUGUUGAAGAAAGCUAAGGGGUGUCUGCGUAAAUUCCGUAUUGGGAAUCAGGGCUUGUGGAUGGUUUCCAACUUCCCCAUCUCCGAUUCCAAUCUGAUCAAUUGUCUGCAGUUGCUGUAUAGCUGCAUUGAAAGCUGGAGUUAAGAAUGACACGUGUCUAAAUAUUCUCAAUCGUUCAAUGCUCAUCGUACUUUAUCACUCGCUGCAAAGGAUAUGGGUUCUAAUUUUUUUUGUGAUGCACUCAAGUUCUUGGCUGUUGAAUUGAUGAAUCAGAGUCGCUAGCAUACCCGCCGCUUUCUCAUGACUUGACUAAGCCUGAUUUGAUGAAUCGGAGUUGAGGGAGGUAUGUUUUGAAACUCAGGGUCGAUCUCAAUCAAUGUUGAUCCAUAUUGGUAUUGGAUUGUUCAGAUCAGAUUUGAUCCGAUGGAUUAGCCUUAUUUUUUUAAUCACUUUUUUGAA